AACGAACGCUGGCGGCAUGCCUAACACAUGCAAGUCGAACGAGACCUUCGGGUCUAGUGGCGCACGGGUGCGUAACGCGUGGGAACCUGCCCUUAGGUUCGCAAUAACUCCCCGAAAGAGGUGCUAAUACCGGAGAAUGUCUUCGGACCAAAGAUUUAGCGCCUUUGGAUGGGCCCGCGUUGGAUUAGCUAGUUGGUAGGCUAAAAGCCUACCAAGGCGAGGUUACAUAGCUGGGCUGAGAGGAUGAUCAGCGACACUGGGCCUGAGACACGGUCCGGACUCCUAGGGAAGGCAGGAGAGGGGAAUAUAGGACAGUGGGGGGUGGCAUGAUGGAGCAAUGCCGCGUGAGUGAUGCAGGCCGUGGGGUUGUAAAGCUCUUUUACACGGGGUGAUAAUGACGGUACCGGGAGAAUAAGCACCGGCUAACUCCGUG
Molecule: ribosomal RNA, 433 nt
Filed under: uncultured bacterium
Lineage: Bacteria
Description: partial 16S ribosomal RNA
Rfam family: Bacterial small subunit ribosomal RNA
Source: RNAcentral